Molecule: long non-coding RNA, 1099 nt
Organism: Frieseomelitta varia
Lineage: Eukaryota; Metazoa; Arthropoda; Insecta; Hymenoptera; Apidae
Exons: 3
Source: RefSeq, a predicted model, not a curated record
UAACACAUCCGAUAAAACAGAACCAGUAAUAAGAAACCUAUAGAAAGGAUAUUCAUGGAAAAUAGAAUUUGCGUAAUAAUAGUGCCAACUAUGAGAUCAUCAAGGCUAGUUUACACAAUCGUAGAGGGAGCUUAACUGUCGAAUGUCUUUGGUCACCUCUUAAUAAUAUCGAUGCAUUGCGAGUGGGUGCAAAAUCUUGCAAAAUUUUGUUGCACAGUAGCGCGAAAAAAGUGUCGCUGCAGGUUAAAAGGAAAUCGAGGAAAAAAAAAAUCUUUUCGAUUCGAGGAACAAUGUUUGCUUUACGCGUUUCGCUCGACGCUCGGUAACAGAAGUAAUUUAUUAUAACGAUCUAGUGAACAAGCGUAUGGGGAUUAAAUUUUUGCGCAAUCCUCGUUUAUUGAUAGAGGAAGAAGUGCCAUUGCCGAAGGAAAUACAUAGAUGUGGAAUGUUAAAACCAGUAAAUCUUCCAGUUUGAUAAAGACUUAUUUUAAAAAAAGUUACAACAGGUUAAGGAGGAACGCCGUUUCAUCGGAAAAAUGACGAAGAGUUUGAAGAAGAUAAAUUGAACUUAUGUAGAAUUACGUCAUAGACUGAUUAGUGUUUUCAGUCGUCUGUGUUUAAGCGCGCGAUAAGAAUAUAAAUUAUUUCACGAUAUUCUAUUAUGCAGGAGGUCGUCCGGGUUAACCGAAAGGGAUAAGAAUAAUGCAUCGUACAUUCGUUUCUGAAUCACCUCCCGAUGUAAAUGCUGUAUUAUUCUUGUACUAAACGAGAUUCUUAUACUAAUUGUCGAUCGUAAAACUCUCUUCAGUUCCAUUCAGUAAAUUUCAAAAGAAAAAGGAUCUCAUAUUUAUCAGAAUUGUAUAAAAUUGGAACAAUUUUGAAAAAGAAUUUAAUUUAUUUUUAAAGCAAAAAGGGCAGAAAAAAGUUGUAAAAUUAAAACACAAUCUUUAACCCCAUUGUGGGUGACAAAAGUGAUAAAGCAUUAUCUAUAGAUAUAUUUUUAUCGUUUUUUCUAUCCAUUUAAAUACGUAUAUGUAUAUACGUUUAUACGUAUAUAUAUAUCCGUUUCUUUUGCUCAAAGGAAAAAGAUCAAAAGUUC